This 406-nucleotide ribosomal RNA is filed under the name uncultured bacterium. RNAcentral's name for it is "partial 16S ribosomal RNA". It matches the Rfam family "Bacterial small subunit ribosomal RNA", at positions 29 to 526 of the family's 1533-position model. The record is from RNAcentral.
AUUGAACGCUGGCGGCAGGCCUAACACAUGCAAGUCGAACGAGUGGCGGACGGGUGAGUAAUGUCUGGGAAACUGCCUGAUGGAGGGGGAUAACUGCUGGAAACGGUAGCUAAUACCGCAUACCAUCAGAUGUGCCCAGCUGGUAUUAGCUAGUUGGUGGGGUAACGGCGCACCAAGGCGACGAGCCCUAGCUGGUCUGAGAGGAAGACCAGCCACACUGGAAAGGAGACACGGUCCAGACUCCUACGGGAGGCAGCAGUGGGGAAUAUUGAACAAUGGGCGCAAGCCUGAUGCAGCCAUGCCGCGUGUAUGAAGAAGGCCGUCGGGUUGUAAAGUACUUUCAGCGGGGAGGCGUUACCCGAAGAAGAAGCACCGGCUAACUCCGUGCCAGCAGCCGCGGUAAUAC